This 254-nucleotide ribosomal RNA is filed under the name uncultured bacterium. RNAcentral describes it as "partial 16S ribosomal RNA". It matches the Rfam family "Bacterial small subunit ribosomal RNA", at positions 524 to 776 of the family's 1533-position model. The record is from RNAcentral.
UACAGAGGUGGCAAGCGUUGUUCGGAAUUACUGGGCGUAAAGGGCGCGUAGGCGGCCUUCUAAGUCUUGUGUGAAAUCCCUCGGCUCAACUGAGGAACUGCACGGGAUACUGGAUGGCUUGAGUUCGGGAGAGGGAAGCGGAAUUCCGGGUGUAGCGGUGAAAUGCGUAGAUAUCCGGAGGAACACCGGUGGCGAAGGCGGCUUCCUGGACCGAUCACUGACGCUGAGGCGCGAAAGCUAGGGGAGCAAACGGG